This 68-nucleotide transfer RNA is filed under the name Marmota monax (woodchuck). Its description in RNAcentral is "tRNA.Undet". Lineage: Eukaryota; Metazoa; Chordata; Mammalia; Rodentia; Sciuridae. The record is from RNAcentral.
GGAUUGUGGCUCAGUGGUAGAGCAGUCACCUAGCAUGCACAAAGCCCUGGGUUCAAUACUCAGCACCA